Molecule: long non-coding RNA, 227 nt
Organism: Etheostoma spectabile (orangethroat darter)
Lineage: Eukaryota; Metazoa; Chordata; Actinopteri; Perciformes; Percidae
Exons: 2
Source: RefSeq, a predicted model, not a curated record
UUCCUCUCUGUGUAAACGAUUUCUUACAAACUAAGCAGCUGAAAGGUUUUUCUCCUGUGUGAGUCAUCAUGUGUUUCUUCAGGGAUCCACUUUCAGAGAAAGCUUUACCACACUCAGAGCAGCUGAAAGGUUUUUCUCCUGUGUGGAUUAUAUUGUGUUUCUGUAAACUUCCACUAUGUGUAAAAGAUUUGUUACAAACUGAGCAGCUAAAAGGUUUCUCUCCUGUG